ACACCUCAACUCUCAUGGUUUUGCCGUGAUGAGCUUGGAUUUUGGAGGUCUUGCUGGCCCGUGGUCAGCUCCUCUCAAAUGAAUCAGCUUGCCAGUGUUUGGUGGCAUCACAGGUGUGAUAACUAUCUACGCUUGUGGCUUCCACCAGGUAACCUUCAGCAAUGGAGGUUCGCUGGAGCUCACAAAUGUCUCUCCUCAGCGAGGACAGCUUCUUGAAU
This 218-nucleotide unclassified non-coding RNA is filed under the name uncultured Thelephorales. RNAcentral describes it as "sequence contains ITS2". The record is from RNAcentral. Lineage: Eukaryota; Fungi; Basidiomycota; Agaricomycetes; Thelephorales.